This 85-nucleotide transfer RNA is filed under the name Felis catus (domestic cat). It matches the Rfam family "tRNA". Rfam says of the family: Transfer RNA (tRNA) molecules are approximately 80 nucleotides in length. Their secondary structure includes four short double-helical elements and three loops (D, anti-codon, and T loops). Further hydrogen bonds mediate the characteristic L-shaped molecular structure. tRNAs have two regions of fundamental functional importance: the anti-codon, which is responsible for specific mRNA codon recognition, and the 3' end, to which the tRNAs corresponding amino acid is attached (by aminoacyl-tRNA synthetases). tRNAs cope with the degeneracy of the genetic code in two manners: having more than one tRNA (with a specific anti-codon) for a particular amino acid; and 'wobble' base-pairing, i.e. permitting non-standard base-pairing at the 3rd anti-codon position. The record is from Rfam by way of RNAcentral. Lineage: Eukaryota; Metazoa; Chordata; Mammalia; Carnivora; Felidae.
GCCUGGGUGGCUCGGUCGGUUGGGCAUCUGACUGCAGCUCAGGUCACGAUCUGGUGGUUUGUGGGUUCAAGCCCUGCCCUGGGCU